This 312-nucleotide signal recognition particle RNA is filed under the name Methanomicrobia archaeon. RNAcentral's name for it is "signal recognition particle sRNA". It matches the Rfam family "Archaeal signal recognition particle RNA". The record is from RNAcentral. Lineage: Archaea; Methanobacteriati; Methanobacteriota; Methanomicrobia.
GUGCGGGCUAGCCUGGGGGGCUAAGCGUCCUCUGUAACUCGAAAUCGUAUACGCGAGAGGCGAAGCUUGAGGAAGGCUCUGGAGCUGUCAGUUUCAGCUUGAAGUCCUACGAAGAAGCAUCGUCCUGCGGGGUUGACGGUGGUAUGGUGGCUGGCUGGAGGGCUUGCCGUCAUGCCUUUGUCAUGGAUACUGGUUUAGGCCCGGAAGGGAGCGGACUCACCGUGGACGCUGGCGCUCGGAGGGUAGCGAUGCGGAGAAAGACUUUGAGGGUCUGGCUGAUGGCGAAGGUGUCGACCAAGAGCGUGCCCGCAC